This 253-nucleotide ribosomal RNA is filed under the name uncultured bacterium. RNAcentral's name for it is "partial 16S ribosomal RNA". It matches the Rfam family "Bacterial small subunit ribosomal RNA", at positions 524 to 776 of the family's 1533-position model. The record is from RNAcentral.
UACGUAGGGGGCGAGCGUUGUCCGGAUUUAUUGGGCGUAAAGAGCGUGUAGGCGGUUCGGUAAGUCUGUCGUGAAAUCCUGAGGCUCAACCUCGGGCGUGCGAUGGAUACUGCCGGGCUAGAGGGUGGUAGAGGCGAGUGGAGUUCCCGGUGUAGCGGUGAAAUGCGCAGAUAUCGGGAGGAACACCAGUAGCGAAGGCGGCUCGCUGGGCCACACCUGACGCUGAGACGCGAAAGCUAGGGGAGCGAACAGG